Molecule: long non-coding RNA, 4583 nt
Filed under: Brassica rapa (field mustard)
Lineage: Eukaryota; Viridiplantae; Streptophyta; Magnoliopsida; Brassicales; Brassicaceae
Description: long non-coding RNA (BRAP_LNC002112)
Source: RNAcentral
GAAACCAUUUAACGCAGUUGAUUUAAUCCAAACAGCUCACUGUCUUGUAAAUAGCAAUCAAUCUUAGUAAUGAUGAUUAAGAUAUGACUACAUAGUAACCUCUCAAAUCAAUGGGAAGUCCAGAAGAAGCCUUGCUUUCGCUGGAUUCAGACAUGGCCUUUGUCGAAAAGGAAAAACUCUUUUUAGAAGCUGGAAGAGCACUGUCGUUUCUCAAACACCCGAGGUUCGAUAGAUGUCGAGUGGAAGUGAGCUUAUCCCAUGAUGCGUUCCCGUGAUUGACACCGACAAUCCCUGCUUUAACAACUUUGCUAGAGGCAGCAGAAAUGCUUGGCCUUGUUGUAGCCAUUUGCAAGCUCGAAGCUGCUGAUGUUGCCGCCAUCCUCGCAAUAUUUCAAAUAUUUUCUGUGCAAAAAAAAUGUCAGAACAUGUAAAGAAGACCAAUGAGCUUUCUUUCUAACAAUCCAAGUUAUAAUAAUCUGCACAAAAUGCAGAUCGACACAGACAUUGGAGAAAUAGAAUUGAAAAUGUCCUGCAUUUAUAAAAAUGAUUUGAUUUAUAAUACGCAAUCCAAGUUCACAUUGACAUAACAAAGAAAACAAAUGGCACAAGUUCUGGAUUUUUCGCAGCUUAACGUCAGAGAAAACUCAAUUGACUGAGAUAAUUAAAAACCCAAAACGAAUCUGCAUUUUUCCAUCAAACAAACAGAGAACCAAAGAGAGAGAGGGGGAGAGAUAGAUACCUGAUAGAGCCUAGAGAGAGAAGAGAGAAGAGAGAAGAGAGAAGAGAGAAGAGUAGGUUUGCUUUGGUGUGAAGUGGGGUAUGUAAGGGGAGCGGGUUCGAUGAGAUCGAGGUGUUUGUUGUGUCUGGCGAAGUUAAGAGGUUGAUUGUAUGUGGUUUUUGUUUUAGUUUUUGGUUUUUGUAAACAAAAACCAUUUUUCAUCCAAUUAAUUUUUAGUUUUUAGUUUUGUUUUUGUAGAAAUCAUUUGAUUUGCCAAUCAAGAUUUUUAAUAAAUAGAUUUCUUAAAAUUUAGAGAAAUUAGUUUUUGAAAAGUUUAACCAAUUUGUGAAGAAAAACCAAAAACCAACUUUUGUGAGCUUUUAAAAGGAAAAACGAAUUUUGAUUUUUUUUUGAUAGAAACUACAAUAUUUAAUUAAUUAAUAAUUAAUAAAUAACAUUUUUAUAAAGAUAAAUAAUCAUACAAUUUUUAGUACAUUAGCUAUAAUUUAAAAAAUAAUGUGAUAUAACUUAUUUGUGUUUAAUAUCUGUAAAAUAAAUUUAUAUAGUUUAUAAAUAAUAUUAAUUAAUUUUAAAACUUAGUUAUUAAUUUCUCUAUAUAAAAUAAUAGAAUAAUUUUAAUAAUUACUAGUCACAUUAAAAAUAACUAAAAUUAUAAAAACAUAAUAUGUUUUAGUAAUACAAUAUAUUGUAUUAGUCAUGAAAAAUAAAAAUAGCCAUUCAAUUUUAAGAAAAUAUAAAUAAUUUAUAUGAGAAAAUUUUAUAAUUAGUUUCAAAAUUUUAAGUAUUUUUAUUUUUAUAUAAUUUAUAAUAUUUAAAAAAAAUAUUGCUAUAUAAGUUUAUAAAAUUAAAAAUAAUUUAUAUAAAAAAAAUUUCUAAGUAGUUUCAAACUUUUAAAUAUUUUUAUUUUUUUGCAAUUUAUAUAAAUUUUAUGAUAAAUAUUUUAUUGUAAUAUAAUUUUUAAUAAAACUAUAAUAAUUAAAAUAUGUUAUUAUAUUUUAAUUUAAAAUAAUUAUCAUAAUAUUUUGACAAUUUUAAUUGUAAAUAUAAAUAUUUAUUUCUAUUUUGUUGUAUUAUUUCAAAGUAACUCAUUACUUAAUUUUUGCAAAAAUAAAAAAAAUACUGCAAAACCAAAAACCAAAAUCUAAAUCUAAAAACUAAAAACUAAAAACCAAAAACUGAAAACCAAAAACUAAAAUCUAAAAACCAAAAACUAAAACUAAAAACUAUUGCAACAAUCAUCACCUAAGUGAGAAGUUUUUUGUCCCAACUAGACAAACCGGAUCGGUUUCGUCACAAACCGGAUAUUCAAGGUUUAUCCGUAACCUCUUUCGGAUCUUUUAUUUUUCGGGACUAUUACACAAUUUUUUUUAUUUAGGCCUUAUUGUUUGACUAAUUUUCUGUUUUUGGUUUUUUCAGAUAUUGGUUUUAAAAUUUCAAACUAUUAUUUUAUGUUUUGUUUUUGUUUUUGUUUAAUUUUUAUUUUAAAUUUUGAGUUUUUUAUUUUUUGGUUUUUAUACUAAAGUAUAAAAAAUUUUAGAUUUGAUUUUGUUGUAAAAUCAUACCAAGUUUGAGGUGAUUCGUAUUAAAAUGAGAAAUUCAUGUUAUUCAAACGUAAAUUUUAAAAUUGAUUUCAGUGUUAUUGAAUUUAUCAUUUCAUAAAAUAUUUUGGAAUCUAUUAUUAUUAAACAAAAUUUGAGUUGUAGAUUUAAUAACACUUUAAGUGUCUUUAGAGUAUUUGAGAGGUGAUUUUCUCCCAUGGAUAAUAUAUCAACAUUUGAUCCGGUUAGGCAAGUUUUAGAACAGAAUGAAAAUAACUUGAACAAAGCCGUCUAUGAAACCAUAAAACAUGUGAAGUGGUUGAAUUAAAAAGUAGAAACGUGCAAACUUCAAUCAUCAGAGAAAUAAUGCAGCAGUUAUUACACAUUCGCUAAAGUGACAAACUAGAAACAUAACAUAUUCUCUUGAAACUUAAAAGAAAAACAAAGCCGAUGGGGAGAUCAUAUGCUCUAUUCGUCGAUCAAGAAGACCCUACUUGUUGAGGUCUUUGAAAACGGGGCUGUCCAGAGCAACACCCAUUGAAUUCAAACCAUUGUCCACAUAGAUGGUUGCACCAGUUAUGGCAGAGGCCAAUGGAGAUACCAAGAAGGCCGCUGCAUUCCCAACUUCAUCUGCAUCAUCAAUCAUAUUCCUCAUUUUUUAAUAAAAUUUCCAAUAAAAAAAAUUGAAAGCCAACAAGAGAAUGCUUGUAUAGAAGGAAAAUGAAUGAACCUGCGGUCAGUGAUUUCUGAAUAGGCGCGUUAUUGUAUGAAUACUCAAUCAUUGUGUCUAUGAACCCAAUUGCUUUUGCUGCUCGGCUUCCCAAAGGACCUGCAGAGAUAGUGUUGACUCUAAUGUUUUGUUUCCUUCCAGCUUCAAAUGCAAGCACACGUGUAUCACUCUCUAGUGCGGCCUUGGCAGAACUCAUACCUCCACCAUACCUAACAACAGAAAUUAAAAGAGACACUUGUAAUCAUCUAUUGAGAAACCAAACAAUGUGGUGAAGCUAUAGUAUGACCCUUACCCGGGAAUGAUCCUUUCAGAGGCAAUGUAAGUAAGAGAGAUAGAAGCACCUCCUAAAUAAUCAAUAGAGAAACAAAUAAAAUUUUUAAAAAAAAAUUAUAAAGAAGAAGAGGAAUACAAAGUUUUGUGACAUACCUGGGUUCAUAAUUGGGAGAAAAUGGCUAAGGAGGGAAACAAAGGAGUAGCUGGAAGCAGAAAUAGCAGCAAGAUAGCCUUUCCUCGUUGUCUCCAGAAGAGGUUUGCUAACCUAAAAAUAUCAGAAGAUCUCCCAUCAGGCAAAACAGAAUAAAGUUCUUGUAAAACAGUUUCAGAUAGAGUUCUUGCCUCUGGUCCAUUUGCAAGUGAGUGGACAAGAAUGUCAAUGCUUCCAAAAUCUUGUCUCACACAUUCUGCAGCUUCCUGUACAGUCCAGUUUGAUGAUCCAGCAUAUCGCUUAUUCGCUUUCACCUGGAAAAAUAAAAUGUUAUCAUAACUAAUUUGGAUAUUAAGGGUUUUAAUAUGAUGUGAAAGAUGUAAAUCUCCCUUACAUCUUCAGGGACAUCAUCAGGAGUGUCAAAGACAGCAUCCAAAGGAUAAACCUUUUUAAUCUCCAUCAAUGAUCCGUCUGGCAACCUGAAUUUGAGAUAUUAGAUGAUGUGGAAAAACAAAAGAAACAAAGAGUUGAUCAGUUUUGUUGUAAGUCCUUACACGCGUGACUGGUCGAAUUUUCCACGUCUCAAGCUCGUCUCAAAAAUGUUAAGUGCCUAGUAGAGCACCAUUCAAAGGUCAGUGUACAUGAGGAAACUAAAAGCAGCUCAAUAGAGUUUUAAAAAAAAAAAAAACUUACAGGAACCCAAGUGCCAACCAAUAUUUCAGCACCAGCAGCAGCAAGAGAUUUGGCUAUGGCCCAACCAUAUCCAUUAUCAUCAGCGAUACCAGCAAUGAAAGCCCUUUUCCCUAGAAACCAUUUAACGCAGUUGAUUUAAUUCAAACAGCUCACUGUCUUCUAAAUACCAACCAAUCUUAGUAAUGAUGAUUAAGAUAUGACUACAUAGUAACCUCUCAAAUCAAUGGGAAGUCCAGAAGAAGCCUUGCUUUCGCUGGAUUCAGACAUUGCCUUUGUCGAAAAGGAAAAACUCUUUUUAGAAGCUGGAAGAGCACUGUCGUUUCUCAAACACCCGAGGUUCGAUAGAUGGCGAGUGCAAGCAAUUUUGUCCCACGAUGCGUUCCUUGGAUUGGCACCGACAAUGCAGGUCCUUGCUUUGCUAGAGGCAGCAGAAAUGCUUGCCCUUGUUGUAGCCAUUUG